This 253-nucleotide ribosomal RNA is filed under the name uncultured bacterium. RNAcentral's name for it is "partial 16S ribosomal RNA". It matches the Rfam family "Bacterial small subunit ribosomal RNA", at positions 524 to 776 of the family's 1533-position model. The record is from RNAcentral.
UACGUAGGGUGCAAGCGUUGUCCGGAAUUAUUGGGCGUAAAGAGCUCGUAGGCGGUCUGUCGCGUCGGCUGUGAAAACCCGGAGCUCAACUCCGGGCCUGCAGUCGAUACGGGCAGACUGGAGUUCGGCAGGGGAGACUGGAAUUCCUGGUGUAGCGGUGAAAUGCGCAGAUAUCAGGAGGAACACCGGUGGCGAAGGCGGGUCUCUGGGCCGAUACUGACGCUGAUGUGCGAAAGCCAGGGGAGCGAACGGG